UCCCUUCCUUUCCAUAGGGCUUUUUCUUACUUAUGCAUUACUUUGAAUUAUGGUUUCAUAAAUUAGGGUUCUCGCUUUGCAAAAGAUGCUAAUAGAGGAUCUUGUUGAAAUUCUCAUUUCCUCACACGAUGAUAUGUAUGUCUUUCUCCGGUUUGGUUUAGGGUUUACUACGAUCAGUGGUAUUGGACCAUAGAAGAAUAAAUUGAUUCUCUCCCUCAAGUUUUGAGAAUUUUGAAUUGCAUGGCAUUUUAAUUUGUCUAGUUAGAUCCAAAAGAAUAGUUUUUUUUGUCGUGGGCUUAUUUUCGGAUCGAGCUCCUCUGCGGCGUGUUUUCUUGGCAGAACCUGCGGAGCCUGCCUGCGAUGCUGACAUAUGGCCGAACCACGUGUAUGAUAAACAUUCACUUAUGCCGAUUUUGAAAGUGGGAUCGGAUCGACCAAAACGGUUCUCUGUUUCGGUCGUACCAAAGCGAACCCUUUCCCAUCUCUUCUGCAGGUCGAUCCCUCUGUCCUCUCAUCUGUGCGGAGGAAGCAAAUCCUCUCCCAUCUCUUCUUCUUCUUCUCUCUCCUUACCCUCAUCUUUUGCUCUGUUUGUAUGUUCUGAACUCUAUGACCACCGGGAUAAAGCAUUUAGGAGAUCCCAUCAAGAUUGUCAUUGCUGUGUCCACCCCUAGCACCGUCUUCAUUGGAUCUAAUUUCAAAGAUAUCAGAAUUUCGAUCCAUUCUAACUCUAAGCAAAGAAGGGUUGGCGAAAAACUGGAUUUCCUCUCAUGGCUACCCAGAAUAAGUAAAGGGUCAGCGUUAUAAACCUCUUGAACAGAAGAUGAUGGGUUUAGCCGUUGCUGUUAGAUUGGGUUUGGGGCUAGCAACGGAUUUACUUCGGGUGGAAAACAGUAGUUUACAUCAUUAUCAUCAGAGCUUUGGUUUGAAAAAGGAAACUAAGAAAUUGAAACAAAAAGGUUUCAAUUGAAAGGGUUUCAAGAGAAGUUUCCUGAUGGUAAGAUUUGGAGUCCAAAACCUAGCGCCAGAAGAGAGAAAGGAGGGAGAAAGAAGAAGAAGAGAGAACCGUUUUGGUCGAUUCGGUCCAAUUUUCAAAAUCGGCAUAAGUGAAUGUUCACCAUACACGUGGCAUCGGCCAGGUGUUGACAUCGCAGGCAGGCUCCGCCAAGAAAGCACGCCGCAGAGGAGCUUGAUCCCUUAUUUCAUCAGGUUUCGGUAAAUGGAUAUGUGUCUUUAAAUGUCUGGAAUUGGAUAACUCCUAGGUGAUGGUGGAGAUAGGGGAUUCAAUCCCUAAAUUUUUAGGGACUAGGGUUGACACCUUUGAUGCAGCCAUGGCCAGAUGUCUCCAUGCUUGGCCUGCAACCUGGUUCCAUGCAAUGGAUGCUGCUGCAGGAAAUGAGAGUUGGAAUCCUUCUAAACAGGCAUCUCCAUCCCUUCUCCUAUUCCGGCAACUUCAGUGCCUCUCUGGUUCAAAGGCAGAUGUUGCAACAACCUCAAUCUCAUCAUGCUUUCCUUCAAACAUGUUGUGCCUUGUUUUAAGGAAUGGAUGAACAAAGUAUGGUUUUAAAUUGAUAUGUUUCAGUGUACAGCUUA
Molecule: long non-coding RNA, 1590 nt
Organism: Macadamia integrifolia
Lineage: Eukaryota; Viridiplantae; Streptophyta; Magnoliopsida; Proteales; Proteaceae
Exons: 2
Source: RefSeq, a predicted model, not a curated record